Molecule: unclassified non-coding RNA, 371 nt
Filed under: Hevea brasiliensis (rubber tree)
Lineage: Eukaryota; Viridiplantae; Streptophyta; Magnoliopsida; Malpighiales; Euphorbiaceae
Source: RNAcentral
AUGUUCAUCCUUCGCUCGCAAUGACGGCUUUCGCGUGGCUGCGUCAAUGCCCGUGAUGUCCCUUCGUGCCGCCAUGCCCGCCCUCGCCGUNGCCAGCACCGGCCCGUUGGAAAUCCGGUCGACAUAGGCGAUGCCGAUGGCGGAGAGGAUGAACAUGCCGUGGAUGAUGGUCUGCCACAUCACGCCGGCUUCGGUAUAGUUGGUGGUGCGGCCCGCCCCGCCGAGGUUGCCCGCUUCGAUGAAGGUGCGCAGCAGGUGGAUCGAGGAAAUGCCGAUGAUCGCCAUGGCGAGCUUGAUCUUCANNNNNNNNGACAUGGCUCAGCCAUUCCGGCUCGUCGGGAGGGCCCUUGAGAUGCAGCCGCGACACGAAU